Molecule: long non-coding RNA, 163 nt
Organism: Bufo bufo (common toad)
Lineage: Eukaryota; Metazoa; Chordata; Amphibia; Anura; Bufonidae
Exons: 3
Source: RefSeq, a predicted model, not a curated record
GUCCCCCAAGGUGUACCCCCACUACCUUGGUUGACAAGGAAAAUCAACUGAGAUCCAAACCAACUUCUCUCUGACUAAUAACUGCUUAGAACCUGGAAAACAACAACGGAACAACAAAAGAACCAGUCAAUGCGUAAGGCUAAAUUCCAGGACGUGUAUGUGA